Molecule: ribosomal RNA, 765 nt
Filed under: uncultured Glomus
Lineage: Eukaryota; Fungi; Glomeromycota; Glomeromycetes; Glomerales; Glomeraceae
Description: SSU rRNA
Rfam family: Eukaryotic small subunit ribosomal RNA
Source: RNAcentral
UACCAUGGUGGUAACGGGUAACGGGGUGUUAGGGCACGACACCGGAGAGGGAGCCUGAGAAACGGCUACCACAUCCAAGGAUGGCAGCAGGCGCGCAAAUUACCCAAUCCCGAUACGGGGAGGUAGUGACAAUAAAUAACAAUACGGGGUUCUUUAGGAUCUCGUAAUUGGAAUGAGUACAAUUUAAAUCUCUUAACGAGGAACAAUUGGAGGGCAAGUCUGGUGCCAGCAGCCGCGGUAAUUCCAGCUCCAAUAGCGUAUAUUAAAGUUGUUGCAGUUAAAAAGCUCGUAGUUGAAUUUCGGGGUCAGUAGGUCGGUCGUGCCACUGGUAUGAACUGGUUUUACUGAUUCCUCCCUCUUGAAGAACUGUAAUGCCAUUAAUUUGGUGUUGCAGGGAAUCAGGACUGUUACUUUGAAAAAAUUAGAGUGUUUAAAGCAGGCUUUAGCUUGAAUACAUUAGCAUGGAAUAAUGAAAUAGGACGUUUGAUCCUAUUUUGUUGGUUUCUAGGAUUGACGUAAUGAUUAAUAGGGAUAGUUGGGGGCAUUAGUAUUCAAUUGUCAGAGGUGAAAUUCUUGGAUUUAUUGAAGACUAACUACUGCGAAAGCAUUUGCCAAGGAUGUUUUCAUUAAUCAAGAACGAAAGUUAGGGGAUAGAAGACGAUCAGAUACCGUCGUAGUCUUAACCAUAAACUAUGCCGACUAGGGAUCGGAUGAUGUUAAUUUUUUAAUGACUCAUUCGGCGCCUUACGGGAAACCAAAGUGUUU